AUGGGUUGUAGGAAAAAACUUAGAUUUCAAUCUGAAGGGAAAGGUUGUGUUCGAAUCUUAUUAGUAAAUGACACAGAUUUUGUGUCCCACAGACACAAGAAGGAGAAGAAGAAGGACAGAGAGAGGGAGCGUGACAAGGACCGUGAGCGGAAAGAGGAGAAGGAACGGAGCAGAGAUGAGAGAGAGCGCUCCACCAGCAAGAAGAGGAGAAAGAGUAAGGACAAGGAGCGGGACAGGGAGAAGAGUGACACUGAGAAAGGGGACGUCAAGGUGACUAGAGACUACGAUGAAGAGGAGCAAGGUUACGACAGUGAAAAGGGGGAGAAGAGGGAUUCUCCUCCAUCAUUGGAUGCUACCGAGUUGUCUGUGCCAGUGAAAGAGCCCAAAAUAAACGGUGAUGAUCAUCACGAGGAGGACAUGGACAUGAGUGACUGAAGCUGUGGUCAUCCGUAUGUGUAGGGUAUUACACAAGGUAUACCUUCCCAAUUUGAGUUUUUGGUUCCUCUUUACCUAAAGGAUGUUCUCCUUUAAUGCUCACAGAAGUCUGGCUCUGGUCAUUUAUUUUUCUAGAACCAUUUACAUCUGUCCAGACAUAAUAUGAAGUUGUAAAUGUAGCAGUUUUGUAUGAGGAAAGGCCUGUGUGCCUGCUGAGUUGAUGGGUUUUAUUUUUCUCUUGUCAUAUUUGUAAAAUACAAAUAAACUGUACAAGACAAAACA
RNAcentral lists this long non-coding RNA (717 nucleotides) under Scleropages formosus (Asian bonytongue). Its description in RNAcentral is "lncRNA (ENSSFOG00015028388.1)". The record is from RNAcentral. Lineage: Eukaryota; Metazoa; Chordata; Actinopteri; Osteoglossiformes; Osteoglossidae.